Molecule: ribosomal RNA, 254 nt
Filed under: uncultured bacterium
Lineage: Bacteria
Description: partial 16S ribosomal RNA
Rfam family: Bacterial small subunit ribosomal RNA
Source: RNAcentral
UACGUAGGGCGCGAGCGUUAUCCGGAAUUAUUGGGCGUAAAGAGCUCGUAGGCGGUUUGUCGCGUCUGCCGUGAAAAUCCGGGGCUCAACUCCGGACUUGCGGUGGGUACGGGCAGGCUAGAGUGGUGUAGGGGAGACUGGAAUUCCUGGUGUAGCGGUGGAAUGCGCUGAUAUCAGGAGGAACACCGAUGGCGAAGGCAGGUCUCUGGGCAUUUUACUGACGCUGAGGAGCGAAAGCGUGGGGAGCGAACAGG